RNAcentral lists this ribosomal RNA (484 nucleotides) under uncultured bacterium. RNAcentral's name for it is "partial 16S ribosomal RNA". It matches the Rfam family "Bacterial small subunit ribosomal RNA", at positions 30 to 507 of the family's 1533-position model. The record is from RNAcentral.
AUUGAACGCUGGCGGCAGGCCUAACACAUGCAAGUCGAGCGGAUGAAGGGAGCUUGCUCCUGGAUUCAGCGGCGGACGGGUGAGUAAUGCCUAGGAAUCUGCCUGGUAGUGGGGGAUAACGUCCGGAAACGGGCGCUAAUACCGCAUACGUCCUGAGGGAGAAAGUGGGGGAUCUUCGGACCUCACGCUAUCAGAUGAGCCUAGGCCGGAUUAGCUAGUUAGUGGGGUAAAGGCCUACCAAGGCGACGAUCCGUAACUGGUCUGAGAGGAUGAUCAGUCACCCUGGAACUGAGACACGGUCCAGGCUCCUACGGGAGGCCGCAGUGGGGAAUAUUGGACAAUGGGCGAGAGCCUGGUCCAGCCAUGCCGCGUGUGUGGAGAAGGUCUUCGGAUUGUAAAGCACUUUAAGUUGGGAGGAAGGGCAGUAAGUUAAUACCUUGCUGUUUUGACGUUACCAACAGAAUAAGCACCGGCUAACUUCGUG